AGUUUUGUUAGAUAAUUUUUGGAUAGGUAUCAAUAGAGUGUUUGCAAGGACACUGCAUAGUAAGGAGUGGGGCUAUGUAGAAUAAGUAGUUAUUUUCAGAAUGUAAAUACCUAGUGUACGUGUAAAAAGGGAUAGAUAACUGCUGAAAAGGUGGUUCAGCAGGUAGAAUGGAUGAAUAGUUAAGAAAAGUAGUUAUCAUCUGUAGUAUAGGAAUUGUUAUCUCAGGGUAGUAUAAGGAGGAUGGGAGAGGGGAAGAAAAUGUUAGACUGUGAGAGUUGUGAGCCGAGGGCCAGACUGCGAUAGUAUUGAGCCGAGGAUAAG
Molecule: long non-coding RNA, 321 nt
Filed under: Physcomitrium patens
Lineage: Eukaryota; Viridiplantae; Streptophyta; Bryopsida; Funariales; Funariaceae
Description: long non-coding RNA (PPAT_LNC011799)
Source: RNAcentral